Molecule: transfer RNA, 74 nt
Filed under: Stereum hirsutum FP-91666 SS1
Lineage: Eukaryota; Fungi; Basidiomycota; Agaricomycetes; Russulales; Stereaceae
Description: tRNA-Asn (GTT) (tRNA-Asn-GTT-2-1)
Rfam family: tRNA
About the family: Transfer RNA (tRNA) molecules are approximately 80 nucleotides in length. Their secondary structure includes four short double-helical elements and three loops (D, anti-codon, and T loops). Further hydrogen bonds mediate the characteristic L-shaped molecular structure. tRNAs have two regions of fundamental functional importance: the anti-codon, which is responsible for specific mRNA codon recognition, and the 3' end, to which the tRNAs corresponding amino acid is attached (by aminoacyl-tRNA synthetases). tRNAs cope with the degeneracy of the genetic code in two manners: having more than one tRNA (with a specific anti-codon) for a particular amino acid; and 'wobble' base-pairing, i.e. permitting non-standard base-pairing at the 3rd anti-codon position.
Source: RNAcentral
UGCCCCAUGGCUAAGUUGGUCAAAGCGUCCGACUGUUAAUCGGAAGGUCGUCAGUUCGAGCCUGACUGGGGCAG